CCUACGGGUGGCAGCAGUAGGGAAUUUUGCGCAAUGGGCGAAAGCCUGACGCAGCAACGCCGCGUGAUCGAGACGCCCUUCGGGGUGUAAAGAUCUGUCAGUGGGGACGAAACUUGACGGUACCCACAGAGGAAGCACCGGCUAACUCCGUGCCAGCAGCCGCGGUAAUACGCGGGGUGCGAGCGUUGUCCGGGAACAUUGUGCGUAAAGAGUUCGUAGGCGGCACGUAAAGGCUAGUGUAAAAGGUAGAGGCUCAACUUCUGUACGGCACUGGAUACUUGCGAGAUAGAAUGCGGUAGAGGAGAAGCGAAGUCGUGGGGUAGCAGUGUAAUGC
RNAcentral lists this ribosomal RNA (334 nucleotides) under uncultured bacterium. RNAcentral's name for it is "partial 16S ribosomal RNA". It matches the Rfam family "Bacterial small subunit ribosomal RNA", at positions 338 to 689 of the family's 1533-position model. The record is from RNAcentral.